RNAcentral lists this non-coding RNA (163 nucleotides) under bovine gut metagenome. The record is from RNAcentral.
CAGUGCCGCCCGAAAGGGCGGGUAAUAGGGAACCGGGUGGAAAUCCCGGGCGAUCCGGUCACUGUGAGCGGGGAGCGGCGCAGAAAAUCCAUUGUGCUCAUGCAGCACGAGAAGGGCCGCGCUGAGCGACGAGCCGCGAGCCAGGAAACCUGCUGGGAGAAAA